Long non-coding RNA from Numida meleagris (helmeted guineafowl), 2168 nucleotides. RefSeq lists it as uncharacterized. NCBI's taxonomy places the organism in Eukaryota, Metazoa, Chordata, Aves, Galliformes, Numididae. The record is from RefSeq and is a predicted model, not a curated record. The transcript is spliced from 2 exons.
GGGGCCGAUGGGAAGCGUAGGCCGCGCGCGGCUCGCCGCCGUCCCGCUGCCGGGCUGCGGGCGGUAAUUCUAAAAACCCCCUCGAAUCUGGAACGUCCUGAACGCUCAGAAUUCCGGCCCGCGCCUCACCACGAUCCCCCACCGCACGCACUGGGCCCGCAGCUGGCGCAGCCCAGGUUCGGAGCACCCACGCGCAGGGUUGGGGCCUAGGGGCUGCCUGCGCCCCACAGGCAGGAUCCCUGACGGGGCUGCCCGGCCUCGCUCCGCUUUGACCUUCAGCUUCGUCACAGCUCCGGGUGACGCCGAUCCGCGCCCCGCACAAGUGCCACACAGCUGCCGCUGCUGCCAGCCAAACCCAGCUCCCCUCGGGCGGCACGACAGCUCCGUUUGGCUCCGUGCUCUCAGCCUGACCUCGGCCUUCCCCUCGCUGCCCCCACGGCAGGAAUGCAGUCCUGCCAGGAACCGGGCGCUCCACAGCAUCACCGCCUGCCUGCGAAGGGAAGCAGCUACAGCAGUGCGCAGCCGAGCCUGGCACAGGGACGGCCUCACCGCGGGGAGUCGGCAUUAAAGCACCAGAACUCAAAGCUGUGCUGUUCAACUGCAGGGUUAGAGUUCUGCUAACCAAGGAAAGCCUAACCAGGAGCAGAGAUCUCUAGCCCAACAGUCUGCUACAGAUCUGGAUUUCCUUGCAGAACAGUCAGAUUUCAUCAGCCACCCUGAUUUGGAGAUGAUGUAGCAAGAAUUUCUGUGCAGUAAUACAACUUUGCCCCUUGCCACGGAUCUUUUUAUAGCCCUUCCAGUUUUCAUUUUCCAUUCAAAAAUAGCACUGCGCCGUGUCCCCCAGCUCACCCAGCUGCUCCCAGGGGGCUCAGCACAGACCUGCACCCCGAGUCGUGUCCCAGCUGACAAUGUCCCUGCAGGCUUUUGGCAGACAGCCCCAACUCUGCUCCACCAGCAGAGGGGCAACCAGUCGCUCAAGCAGUGCCACUGCUACCUCUGAGCUUCCCCACACAAACAAGUGGAGUUCUCAGUGAUGAUUUCAGUGCUGUCCUGUGAAACUCUCUGAAGACCUCCUCUCCUACAAAGCACCAGGAGCCAUAGAGCUCUACCUAUGGUAACUGUAUAAGUAACAUACCUGAUUGUUACUUUCUUUACUCCACUCUCCCACAUUCAUUGCCUCGACCUAUUAACCCUCGGGAUUUGCUUUGAAUCCCUAAGGCAGAUACAAUCUCUCAGCUUCAGGGGCAUUCACAGCAAGUACAACUGCCUAUACACAACAGCACAUGUGCUAGAGCACAUGAAAGGAAACUUCUGAGCAUACAAAGACACCAGACCAGUUUGGUAAACAUCAUGAAAGCAGCGGCCACCAAGAGACACAGCAACAAGAGCCCCCUGCUGAUACCACUCCUGGAUACAACUGCAUUCCUUCCACGUCCUGGUUCACAACUUCACUAGAUGUUCUAACAAAAAGCAGGAAUCUCAAACAGCAGUGGCCACUGAGCCUUCAGAAGAUACAAGACUCAUCUGUGGACUCAUCUAUAUUUAGCUUUGAACCAGACAAGCUGCGACAACAAGAGACCUUUGCCGUGUUCACUGCUCUUCUAAUAUCCCUCUUCAGCAUUAGAGAAAGUGUCCAGUCAUGGUAACAAAGGCACCGCUCAGCUGUGACAGGCAGAACUUCCCAGCUGGUGAUUAUUCUGGAAAUGCUUGCCAGAAAGGGCAGAAAAAGAGCAAAGCCUUUAAACAGAGCCACAUGCAGGUAAUUAGCACUGAGGCUGGAAGAGCUCAGGGACCUUCCUGUCCCACUAACAGCUCCUGAGCUACAAACCUGCAUUUUCUCUGUCAUAGGUCAGUUUUAAUGUGCCUGAAACAAGCAGGACGUGAACAUGCUGCUCACUAGAAGAGCUGACUGAUCCGUGUAAGAAGUAACAUUACUUGUUUGAAAACCACAUUAACGAUUUCGGUUGAGUCAUUUGAUGGAGACACUCAUAAUUGCAGGGACGACGUGCGUUGUUUGUUCUCACGUUGGAGUCUCCUGCACAGGGCAGAGUCACCUCUCGAGGUCACAUUUCUAUUGCUGCUCAUGCUGGGGGAGAAUUGAUUGAUUCUGUUGUGAAGGUAAGGGACACGUACUGCUAUUGACAUAGUAAUAUGGCAUUCUGAAUCAA